GAUGAAGAACGUAGCGAAAUGCGAUAAGUAAUGUGAAUUGCAGAAUUCAGUGAAUCAUCGAAUCUUUGAACGCACAUUGCGCCCGCCAGUAUUCUGGCGGGCAUGCCUGUCUGAGCGUCAUUUCAACCCUCAUGCCCCUAGGGCGUGGUGUUGGGGAUCGGCCGAAGCCCGCGAGGGACGGCCGGCCCCUAAAUCUAGUGGCGGACCCGUCGUGGCCUCCUCUGCGAAGUAGUGAUAUUCCGCAUCGGAGAGCGAUGAGCCCCUGCCGUUAAACCCCCAACUUUCCAAGGUUGACCUCAGAUCAGGUAGGAAUACCCGCUGAACUUAAGCAUAUCAAUAAGCGGAGGA
Molecule: unclassified non-coding RNA, 348 nt
Filed under: soil metagenome
Description: partial contains 5.8S ribosomal RNA, internal transcribed spacer 2, and large subunit ribosomal RNA
Rfam family: 5.8S ribosomal RNA (bases 1-120)
Source: RNAcentral